CCGGCGACCGGCGCACGGGUGAGUAACACGUAUGGAACCUGCCCUAUGCAGGGGGAUAAGCGGAAGAAAUUCCGUCUAAUACCGCGUAACAACGUUGGGAGGCAUCUCCCGAUGUUUAAAGAUUUAUCGGCUGCGGAUGGCCAUGCGGCGCAUUAGCUAGUCGGCGGGGUAACGGCCCACCGAGGCGACGAUGCGUAGGGGUUCUGAGAGGAAGGUCCCCCACACUGGUACUGAGACACGGACCAGACUCCUACGGGAGGCAGCAG
RNAcentral lists this ribosomal RNA (266 nucleotides) under uncultured bacterium. Its description in RNAcentral is "partial 16S ribosomal RNA". It matches the Rfam family "Bacterial small subunit ribosomal RNA", at positions 88 to 354 of the family's 1533-position model. The record is from RNAcentral.